This 515-nucleotide ribosomal RNA is filed under the name uncultured Glomus. Its description in RNAcentral is "SSU rRNA". It matches the Rfam family "Eukaryotic small subunit ribosomal RNA", at positions 569 to 1084 of the family's 1831-position model. Lineage: Eukaryota; Fungi; Glomeromycota; Glomeromycetes; Glomerales; Glomeraceae. The record is from RNAcentral.
AGCAGCCGCGGUAAUUCCAGCUCCAAUAGCGUAUAUUAAAGUUGUUGCAGUUAAAAAGCUCGUAGUUGAAUUUCGGGAUCAAUUUGCUGGUCGUGCCUUCGGUACGCACUGGUAUUAUUGGUUUCUCCUUUCUGAUGAAUCGCGAUGUCAUUAAUUUGGUGUCGUGGGGAAUCAGGACCGUUACUUUGAAAAAAUUAGAGUGUUUAAAGCAGGCUCACGCUUGAAUACAUUAGUAUGGAAUAAUGAAAUAGGACGUUUGAUUCUAUUUUGUUGGUUUCUAGGAUCGACGUAAUGAUUAAUAGGGAUAGUUGGGGGCAUUAGUAUUCAAUUGUCAGAGGUGAAAUUCUUGGAUUUAUUGAAGACUAACUACUGCGAAAGCAUUUGCCAAGGAUGUUUUCAUUAAUCAAGAACGAAAGUUAGGGGAUCGAAGACGAUCAGAUACCGUCGUAGUCUUAACCAUAAACUAUGCCGACUAGGGAUCGGAUGAUGUUAAUUUUUUAAUGUACUCAUUCGGC